CCUGCCCAGUGAACAAUUAAACGGCCGCGGUACCCUAACCGUGCAAAGGUAGCGUAAUCACUUGUCUAUUAAUUGUAGACCCGCAUGAAAGGCAAAAUGAGGGCCUAACUGUCUCUUGUAGUACGUCAAUUAAACUGAUCUUCUAGUCCAAAAGCUAGAAUACCCCCAUAAGACCAGAAGACCCUGUGAAGCUUAAACUAAACUAUUAAACCCUAUAAUAGCUCCUUUCGGUUGGGGCGACCUUGGAAAAAAAAAGAACUUCCAAUGCAGAAUCCUAUAAAUUCCACCAGGCCGACAAGCCACUAAUAGACCCAGCACAGCUGACAAUUGAACCAAGUUACUCCAGGGAUAACAGCGCUAUCUUCUUCAAGAGCCCAUAUCAAAAAGAAGGUUUACGACCUCGAUGUUGGAUCAGGACAUCCUGAUGGUGCAACCGCUAUCAAAGGUUCGUUUGUUCAACGAUUAACAGUCCUACGUGAUC
RNAcentral lists this ribosomal RNA (481 nucleotides) under Micrurus circinalis. RNAcentral describes it as "partial 16S ribosomal RNA". It matches the Rfam family "Bacterial large subunit ribosomal RNA", at positions 1858 to 2605 of the family's 2925-position model. The record is from RNAcentral. Lineage: Eukaryota; Metazoa; Chordata; Lepidosauria; Squamata; Elapidae.